GCACGGCCAAAGCCCCCGCAUCCCACUGCCGCCUGACAGACAGCGGGGGAGGAGGGAGGGGGCCCGGCUGGUCCACUCGGA
This 81-nucleotide microRNA precursor is filed under the name Pteropus vampyrus (large flying fox). RNAcentral describes it as "miRNA (ENSPVAG00000026183.1)". The record is from RNAcentral. Lineage: Eukaryota; Metazoa; Chordata; Mammalia; Chiroptera; Pteropodidae.